Molecule: ribosomal RNA, 2926 nt
Filed under: Salmonella enterica
Lineage: Bacteria; Pseudomonadati; Pseudomonadota; Gammaproteobacteria; Enterobacterales; Enterobacteriaceae
Also listed under: 1 other name
Description: bacterial LSU rRNA
Rfam family: Bacterial large subunit ribosomal RNA
Source: RNAcentral
GGGUUGUGAGGUUAAGCGACUAAGCGUACACGGUGGAUGCCCUGGCAGUCAGAGGCGAUGAAGGACGUGCUAAUCUGCGAUAAGCGCCGGUAAGGUGAUAUGAACCGUUAUAACCGGCGAUUUCCGAAUGGGGAAACCCAGUGUGAUUCGUCACACUAUCAUUAACUGAAUCCAUAGGUUAAUGAGGCGAACCGGGGGAACUGAAACAUCUAAGUACCCCGAGGAAAAGAAAUCAACCGAGAUUCCCCCAGUAGCGGCGAGCGAACGGGGAGGAGCCCAGAGCCUGAAUCAGCAUGUGUGUUAGUGGAAGCGUCUGGAAAGGCGCGCGAUACAGGGUGACAGCCCCGUACACAAAAGCGCAUGUGCUGUGAGCUCGAUGAGUAGGGCGGGACACGUGGUAUCCUGUCUGAAUAUGGGGGGACCAUCCUCCAAGGCUAAAUACUCCUGACUGACCGAUAGUGAACCAGUACCGUGAGGGAAAGGCGAAAAGAACCCCGGCGAGGGGAGUGAAAAAGAACCUGAAACCGUGUACGUACAAGCAGUGGGAGCACCCUUUGGGGUGUGACUGCGUACCUUUUGUAUAAUGGGUCAGCGACUUAUAUUCUGUAGCAAGGUUAACCGUAUAGGGGAGCCGGAGGGAAACCGAGUCUUAAUUGGGCGUUAAGUUGCAGGGUAUAGACCCGAAACCCGGUGAUCUAGCCAUGGGCAGGUUGAAGGUUGGGUAACACUAACUGGAGGACCGAACCGACUAAUGUUGAAAAAUUAGCGGAUGACCUGUGGCUGGGGGUGAAAGGCCAAUCAAACCGGGAGAUAGCUGGUUCUCCCCGAAAGCUAUUUAGGUAGCGCCUCGUGAAUUCAUCUCCGGGGGUAGAGCACUGUUUCGGCUAGGGGGCCAUCCCGGCUUACCAACCCGAUGCAAACUGCGAAUACCGGAGAAUGUUAUCACGGGAGACACACGGCGGGUGCUAACGUCCGUCGUGAAGAGGGAAACAACCCAGACCGCCAGCUAAGGUCCCAAAGUCAUGGUUAAGUGGGAAACGAUGUGGGAAGGCCCAGACAGCCAGGAUGUUGGCUUAGAAGCAGCCAUCAUUUAAAGAAAGCGUAAUAGCUCACUGGUCGAGUCGGCCUGCGCGGAAGAUGUAACGGGGCUAAACCAUGCACCGAAGCUGCGGCAGCGACGCUUAUGCGUUGUUGGGUAGGGGAGCGUUCUGUAAGCCUGUGAAGGUGGCCUGUGAGGGUUGCUGGAGGUAUCAGAAGUGCGAAUGCUGACAUAAGUAACGAUAAAGCGGGUGAAAAGCCCGCUCGCCGGAAGACCAAGGGUUCCUGUCCAACGUUAAUCGGGGCAGGGUGAGUCGACCCCUAAGGCGAGGCCGAAAGGCGUAGUCGAUGGGAAACGGGUUAAUAUUCCCGUACUUGGUGUUACUGCGAAGGGGGACGGAGAAGGCUAUGUUGGCCGGGCGACGGUUGUCCCGGUUUAAGCGUGUAGGUGUGUGUUCCAGGUAAAUCCGGUUCACUUUAACACUGAGGCGUGACGACGAGGCACUACGGUGCUGAAGCAACAAAUGCCCUGCUUCCAGGAAAAGCCUCUAAGCAUCAGGUAACAUCAAAUCGUACCCCAAACCGACACAGGUGGUCAGGUAGAGAAUACCAAGGCGCUUGAGAGAACUCGGGUGAAGGAACUAGGCAAAAUGGUGCCGUAACUUCGGGAGAAGGCACGCUGACACGUAGGUGAAGUGAUUUACUCAUGGAGCUGAAGUCAGUCGAAGAUACCAGCUGGCUGCAACUGUUUAUUAAAAACACAGCACUGUGCAAACACGAAAGUGGACGUAUACGGUGUGACGCCUGCCCGGUGCCGGAAGGUUAAUUGAUGGGGUCAGCGCAAGCGAAGCUCCUGAUCGAAGCCCCGGUAAACGGCGGCCGUAACUAUAACGGUCCUAAGGUAGCGAAAUUCCUUGUCGGGUAAGUUCCGACCUGCACGAAUGGCGUAAUGAUGGCCAGGCUGUCUCCACCCGAGACUCAGUGAAAUUGAACUCGCUGUGAAGAUGCAGUGUACCCGCGGCAAGACGGAAAGACCCCGUGAACCUUUACUAUAGCUUGACACUGAACAUUGAGCCUUGAUGUGUAGGAUAGGUGGGAGGCUUUGAAGCGUGGACGCCAGUCUGCGUGGAGCCGACCUUGAAAUACCACCCUUUAAUGUUUGAUGUUCUAACGUGGACCCGUUACCCGGGUUGCGGACAGUGUCUGGUGGGUAGUUUGACUGGGGCGGUCUCCUCCUAAAGAGUAACGGAGGAGCACGAAGGUUGGCUAAUCCUGGUCGGACAUCAGGAGGUUAGUGCAAUGGCAUAAGCCAGCUUGACUGCGAGCGUGACGGCGCGAGCAGGUGCGAAAGCAGGUCAUAGUGAUCCGGUGGUUCUGAAUGGAAGGGCCAUCGCUCAACGGAUAAAAGGUACUCCGGGGAUAACAGGCUGAUACCGCCCAAGAGUUCAUAUCGACGGCGGUGUUUGGCACCUCGAUGUCGGCUCAUCACAUCCUGGGGCUGAAGUAGGUCCCAAGGGUAUGGCUGUUCGCCAUUUAAAGUGGUACGCGAGCUGGGUUUAGAACGUCGUGAGACAGUUCGGUCCCUAUCUGCCGUGGGCGCUGGAGAACUGAGGGGGGCUGCUCCUAGUACGAGAGGACCGGAGUGGACGCAUCACUGGUGUUCGGGUUGUCAUGCCAAUGGCACUGCCCGGUAGCUAAAUGCGGAAGAGAUAAGUGCUGAAAGCAUCUAAGCACGAAACUUGCCCCGAGAUGAGUUCUCCCUGAGACUUAGAGUCUCCUGAAGGAACGUUGAAGACGACGACGUUGAUAGGCCGGGUGUGUAAGCGCAGCGAUGCGUUGAGCUAACCGGUACUAAUGAACCGUGAGGCUUAACCUUACAACGCCGAAG